This is a non-coding RNA of Pelobates cultripes (western spadefoot toad), 260 nucleotides long. NCBI's taxonomy places the organism in Eukaryota, Metazoa, Chordata, Amphibia, Anura, Pelobatidae. The record is from the annotation of a GenBank genome assembly.
UUGUUUUAUAUUGUUUUACCUUGUUUAUAUGUUAGUCAUACGACAUUGCACCAAUAGUAUUUUCAAUCUACCACAAUUAGCCGGGGCUGUUUAAUAGGUGUCAGAGGCCAGUGGUAUACUAACAUAUACCUUCUCAGCUCUCAGGUGUAGAUCCAUAGUUCAGUAUGUUUAAUCACACCUAUAAAAUUGUGCACUCUCCUCACAGGCUAAGAUACCGUCUAGACAUAUGUUCCUAGAAUGAUGAUUGCUGCCAACAUGGC